This 2884-nucleotide ribosomal RNA is filed under the name Escherichia coli. Its description in RNAcentral is "23S ribosomal RNA". It matches the Rfam family "Bacterial large subunit ribosomal RNA". The record is from RNAcentral. Lineage: Bacteria; Pseudomonadati; Pseudomonadota; Gammaproteobacteria; Enterobacterales; Enterobacteriaceae.
UGGAUCAAGGUACACGGUGGAUGCCCUGGCAGUCAGAGGCGAUGAAGGACGUGCUAAUCUGCGAUAAGCGUCGGUAAGGUGAUAUGAACCGUUAUAACCGGCGAUUUCCGAAUGGGGAAACCCAGUGUGUUUCGACACACUAUCAUUAACUGAAUCCAUAGGUUAAUGAGGCGAACCGGGGGAACUGAAACAUCUAAGUACCCCGAGGAAAAGAAAUCAACCGAGAUUCCCCCAGUAGCGGCGAGCGAACGGGGAGCAGCCCAGAGCCUGAAUCAGUGUGUGUGUUAGUGGAAGCGUCUGGAAAGGCGCGCGAUACAGGGUGACAGCCCCGUACACAAAAAUGCACAUGCUGUGAGCUCGAUGAGUAGGGCGGGACACGUGGUAUCCUGUCUGAAUAUGGGGGGACCAUCCUCCAAGGCUAAAUACUCCUGACUGACCGAUAGUGAACCAGUACCGUGAGGGAAAGGCGAAAAGAACCCCGGCGAGGGGAGUGAAAAAGAACCUGAAACCGUGUACGUACAAGCAGUGGGAGCACGCUUAGGCGUGUGACUGCGUACCUUUUGUAUAAUGGGUCAGCGACUUAUAUUCUGUAGCAAGGUUAACCGAAUAGGGGAGCCGAAGGGAAACCGAGUCUUAACUGGGCGUUAAGUUGCAGGGUAUAGACCCGAAACCCGGUGAUCUAGCCAUGGGCAGGUUGAAGGUUGGGUAACACUAACUGGAGGACCGAACCGACUAAUGUUGAAAAAUUAGCGGAUGACUUGUGGCUGGGGGUGAAAGGCCAAUCAAACCGGGAGAUAGCUGGUUCUCCCCGAAAGCUAUUUAGGUAGCGCCUCGUGAAUUCAUCUCCGGGGGUAGAGCACUGUUUCGGCAAGGGGGUCAUCCCGACUUACCAACCCGAUGCAAACUGCGAAUACCGGAGAAUGUUAUCACGGGAGACACACGGCGGGUGCUAACGUCCGUCGUGAAGAGGGAAACAACCCAGACCGCCAGCUAAGGUCCCAAAGUCAUGGUUAAGUGGGAAACGAUGUGGGAAGGCCCAGACAGCCAGGAUGUUGGCUUAGAAGCAGCCAUCAUUUAAAGAAAGCGUAAUAGCUCACUGGUCGAGUCGGCCUGCGCGGAAGAUGUAACGGGGCUAAACCAUGCACCGAAGCUGCGGCAGCGACGCUUAUGCGUUGUUGGGUAGCUGUGAGGCAUGCUGGAGGUAUCAGAAGUGCGAAUGCUGACAUAAGUAACGAUAAAGCGGGUGAAAAGCCCGCUCGCCGGAAGACCAAGGGUUCCUGUCCAACGUUAAUCGGGGCAGGGUGAGUCGACCCCUAAGGCGAGGCCGAAAGGCGUAGUCGAUGGGAAACAGGUUAAUAUUCCUGUACUUGGUGUUACUGCGAAGGGGGGACGGAGAAGGCUAUGUUGGCCGGGCGACGGUUGUCCCGGUUUAAGCGUGUAGGCUGGUUUUCCAGGCAAAUCCGGAAAAUCAAGGCUGAGGCGUGAUGACGAGGCACUACGGUGCUGAAGCAACAAAUGCCCUGCUUCCAGGAAAAGCCUCUAAGCAUCAGGUAACAUCAAAUCGUACCCCAAACCGACACAGGUGGUCAGGUAGAGAAUACCAAGGCGCUUGAGAGAACUCGGGUGAAGGAACUAGGCAAAAUGGUGCCGUAACUUCGGGAGAAGGCACGCUGAUAUGUAGGUGAGGUCCCUCGCGGAUGGAGCUGAAAUCAGUCGAAGAUACCAGCUGGCUGCAACUGUUUAUUAAAAACACAGCACUGUGCAAACACGAAAGUGGACGUAUACGGUGUGACGCCUGCCCGGUGCCGGAAGGUUAAUUGAUGGGGUUAGCGCAAGCGAAGCUCUUGAUCGAAGCCCCGGUAAACGGCGGCCGUAACUAUAACGGUCCUAAGGUAGCGAAAUUCCUUGUCGGGUAAGUUCCGACCUGCACGAAUGGCGUAAUGAUGGCCAGGCUGUCUCCACCCGAGACUCAGUGAAAUUGAACUCGCUGUGAAGAUGCAGUGUACCCGCGGCAAGACGGAAAGACCCCGUGAACCUUUACUAUAGCUUGACACUGAACAUUGAGCCUUGAUGUGUAGGAUAGGUGGGAGGCUUAGAAGUGUGGACGCCAGUCUGCAUGGAGCCGACCUUGAAAUACCACCCUUUAAUGUUUGAUGUUCUAACGUUGACCCGUAAUCCGGGUUGCGGACAGUGUCUGGUGGGUAGUUUGACUGGGGCGGUCUCCUCCUAAAGAGUAACGGAGGAGCACGAAGGUUGGCUAAUCCUGGUCGGACAUCAGGAGGUUAGUGCAAUGGCAUAAGCCAGCUUGACUGCGAGCGUGACGGCGCGAGCAGGUGCGAAAGCAGGUCAUAGUGAUCCGGUGGUUCUGAAUGGAAGGGCCAUCGCUCAACGGAUAAAAGGUACUCCGGGGAUAACAGGCUGAUACCGCCCAAGAGUUCAUAUCGACGGCGGUGUUUGGCACCUCGAUGUCGGCUCAUCACAUCCUGGGGCUGAAGUAGGUCCCAAGGGUAUGGCUGUUCGCCAUUUAAAGUGGUACGCGAGCUGGGUUUAGAACGUCGUGAGACAGUUCGGUCCCUAUCUGCCGUGGGCGCUGGAGAACUGAGGGGGGCUGCUCCUAGUACGAGAGGACCGGAGUGGACGCAUCACUGGUGUUCGGGUUGUCAUGCCAAUGGCACUGCCCGGUAGCUAAAUGCGGAAGAGAUAAGUGCUGAAAGCAUCUAAGCACGAAACUUGCCCCGAGAUGAGUUCUCCCUGACCCUUUAAGGGUCCUGAAGGAACGUUGAAGACGACGACGUUGAUAGGCCGGGUGUGUAAGCGCAGCGAUGCGUUGAGCUAACCGGUACUAAUGAACCGUGAGGCUUAACCUUACAACGCCGAAGCUGUU